AUUAAACAAAAGUAAUUUGACACGCCUUCCAUUACAAAAAUUAAAAGAAUGAUUUGAUAGGAGUCACCCUCAAAUAGGGGUUUAAAGGCCCAUUAAGAUGGUGUUUUAGGUUGUGAUUGUGUAUAUGGCUAUUAAAGUCGCCAGGGUUAUGAUCAACGCGUUAUGCCCACUUAGGAUUUGGCACGUGGAACUGAUCGGGUAGAAAUCGAUCCGUUGGCGGAGGAGCUUCAGAUUCCAUGGUUCACGCCGGCCAGGUAUCCUCUCUAAAACGUCGUUACUUGAAUGCAUGAUUGCUACAUGAAAUUAGGGUUUCUUUAUCUUUAUUUUGAUCUUCAUUCUUUUUAGGGUUUUUCUGUAAUCUCCGUUUGGUUGCCGAGAAAACGUAGGAAAUUAAAAGAAAAAAGAAGUUUGGAUUUUAGAUUUGUCGUUUCUGGGGUCCGACAUAUUAGAACAUCCGGUAAACUAUUUUCUUUUCUUUUUCCUUCGAUCUUUGGUAUUUGGCUUGAAAUGGGGGAGUAUUUUUCAUCUUCCAGAAAUAAAAAGACACACUCAGGUUUUUAUGUAUUAAAAAAUAUCUGAUAAAAACCAGAAAAAAUAAAAAAUAAAAAAGUGUGGCCUUUAAUGAAGUCCAGGGUUUAUACUGUUGUCUUACUUGCCUAAAAGUGAGGCCGUCGUUGUCGGUGAUGUUCUUAUGAAUUGUUACAGGCAUUCAAACCUGGUUUCGUCUGUUCUUUGUGGGUUUUUAUUUAUGCUCGUAAGCAACCUUGGUGUUCUUGGCGAUAUCCACUAUAAUUGAAAUAUCAAUGAUGUCUGGAAAAUAAUACAUUGGAGCACUUUUGCCGCUUCAACAACAACAAUAAUCCAAAAUGAAGGGCAACAAAUUGAAAAUUCCAGUGGCAGCUGAAACAAAGAGCAAUACAAAGUUUGAUCCGAAGGUCUACAUCUUCAGAAGCUCAUCUCUGGAUAGUGCAGAAAUGCUUAUUAUGGAAAAAUAUUGGUCUUAUUGAGGAAGCUUAUUAAAUUUGCGGUAGCGGUACUCAGCAAAGGUUUUGGUUGAAUACUUGGCAGGGUUUGGUUCAUCCACAAGCUCUGGAAGAGGUCCGAUCAUUGCCUUAUGGGGAGGUGCGCAAAACACAGCCCAUGACAUGCGGGUUCGUUCCUUGUCCACUGUACUCCUGUGGAGAACACUCUUGUACUUCCCAUUGCUCAGCACCUACAAAUGGUAUAUAUCAGUUUCACCUGUCCAAAUGUUAUUUGUUUUUUUAAUUAAUUUUAAAUAGAAUCUUAAUCCUUAAUAGUAUUAAAUGUAGUUUAUUUUUAUAAUAUUUUAUUUUUAUUAAAUAUUAAAAAAUAAAAAAAAUCAAUAUAUUAUUUUUUUUAUUUAAAAAAAACUACAUAUUUUAACAUUUUUUUUAUUUAAUAAAAAAUUUAUAAUAAAUCAUGAAAAAAUAAAAAAACAAAUAACCUAAAUUAUUUUAAACAAAAAGCUAAAAAACCAAACACCUUUAGUUUUUAUUAUUACGUGUCAUUAAAAUUUAGGCAAGAUUUUUUACCUCAAUUUGAUCACCGACAUGGACAAAGAGGGCAUUUGGCAAGUAAUCGACGACAACCCAGUUAUCGUCUUUCCAGACUUGAAGGCCUGGAACAUCAUUGGGCACGAGUAGGGUGAGGGCGGACAUGUCGGUGUGAGGCUCAACUCCGAGCGCCAGUUGAGGCUGUGGGCAUGGUGGGUACAUGUUGAUUUUCAUUUCAAGUUCAAUUUCAUCACCACCCACGUGUGAUUUCAGGACCUUCCCUUCCAAACCGAGCCCCUCUG
Molecule: long non-coding RNA, 1816 nt
Filed under: Vitis vinifera (wine grape)
Lineage: Eukaryota; Viridiplantae; Streptophyta; Magnoliopsida; Vitales; Vitaceae
Description: long non-coding RNA (VVIN_LNC005914)
Source: RNAcentral